This 871-nucleotide long non-coding RNA is filed under the name Homo sapiens (human). RNAcentral's name for it is "HSALNT0328704". Lineage: Eukaryota; Metazoa; Chordata; Mammalia; Primates; Hominidae. The record is from RNAcentral.
AUAAAAAUAAUGCAUUGUAUGCCGGAAGGGAUAAAUCUGGGGCUGAGUACAAGCAAAACAAGACCAAAGGAAGCUACCUGAGCAGGUAUUCCAGAUACUCAUGUCAUACACCAAGGUUGUACCAGUGCCCCUUUCUCUGUGACACAUCCAUCCACUGGAAACUUUCGUACAACUAGCUGAAAGAAGAGAAACAUCCUAUUUCAUGGACAAUAGAUUAUAUUGGAUGUAGAUGAAGUUUGGGCAGAAUCAGGGAUCAAUGGCUCCAUCUAAAUUGUUGCACCAAAACACAGACAUACACCUGCUUUUAGAUUUGAAGAGUGAAUCCUCUCUGGAAAAUGUAGCAACUACUCAAAAAAGGUUGGAGGACCAACACUUCUAAGAAGCAGGAGCUGGAGGGAGGAUGGCAUUUCAAGAGGUGGCAAGUGGUCCUUCUUCACAGUCAUAUCUCUCAUUCUGCAAGCCAAAGACUCAAUCUGCAUAAUAUUCCAUGGUGUAUAUAUACCACAUUCUUUUCCCAGUCAUCAAUCACUGGACGCUUAAGUUGAGUAAUGGCUUUUUAUUGAGGGUAUUACAAAGCUCAAAUCUGAGAAAACCUUGUCUACCAUCAACCCUGACCUACAGAGGAGAGGCACCCCCAAGCUUAUUAGUGAUCCUGUCUCCGUCUUAUUGGCACAUCCUGAUGGCCUUGAUCUCUAGUUCUUCCUGUGGAGCAUAACCAUAUGGUUCUUUGCCAAGAUGUUAAGACCAAAGUCGGAGAGUGAACCCCAUGUCAAUGAAUUCUUGUUUUUCUGAUCUUACAUUCCAUCACUUUGAUCCAGUACUCUCAAAAUGCAAUCACAGUUGUACAUGUCUUCUCCUGUCAAUAAACGCU